CCAACUUAAACCCAAUAAUCCUUGAUUACGAUGUCGGGGAUGCUGAACAAGAAGACGAAGUCCGAUGUAAUUUAUCGUCCUCGGACGAAGAUGAAGUAGAAGAUGAAGAUGUAUAAAUGUGUGAAUAUAUGUAUAAUUAUUUGAAUAAAU
This 150-nucleotide small RNA is filed under the name Arabidopsis thaliana (thale cress). RNAcentral describes it as "ATSL091630". Lineage: Eukaryota; Viridiplantae; Streptophyta; Magnoliopsida; Brassicales; Brassicaceae. The record is from RNAcentral.